AGAGUUUGAUCAUGGCUCAGGAUGAACGCUGGCGGCGUGCCUAACACAUGCAAGUCGAGCGAUUCUCUUCGGAGAAGAGCGGCGGACGGGUGAGUAACGCGUGGGUAACCUGCCCUGUACACACGGAUAACAUACCGAAAGGUAUGCUAAUACGAGAUAAUAUACUUUUAUCGCAUGGUAGAAGUAUCAAAGCUUUUGCGGUACAGGAUGGACCCGCGUCUGAUUAGCUAGUUGGUAAGGUAACGGGCUUACCAAGGCGACGAUCAGUAGCCGACCUGAGAGGGUGAUCGGCCACAUUGGAACUGAGACACGGUCCAAACUCCUACGGGAGGCAGCAGUGGGGAAUAUUGCACAAUGGGCGAAAGCCUGAUGCAGCAACGCCGCGUGAGCGAUGAAGGCCUUCGGGUCGUAAAGCUCUGUCCUCAAGGAAGAUAAUGACGGUACUUGAGGAGGAAGCCCCGGCUAACUACGUG
RNAcentral lists this ribosomal RNA (473 nucleotides) under uncultured bacterium. Its description in RNAcentral is "bacterial SSU rRNA". It matches the Rfam family "Bacterial small subunit ribosomal RNA", at positions 8 to 507 of the family's 1533-position model. The record is from RNAcentral.